RNAcentral lists this ribosomal RNA (497 nucleotides) under uncultured bacterium. Its description in RNAcentral is "partial 16S ribosomal RNA". It matches the Rfam family "Bacterial small subunit ribosomal RNA", at positions 28 to 507 of the family's 1533-position model. The record is from RNAcentral.
GAUGAACGCUGGCGGCGUGCCUAAUACAUGCAAGUCGAGCGAACAGACGAGGAGCUUGCUCCUCUGACGUUAGCGGCGGACGGGUGAGUAACACGUGGAUAACCUACCUAUAAGACUGGGAUAACUUCGGGAAACCGGAGCUAAUACCGGAUAAUAUAUUUAACCGCAUUGUUCAAUAGUGAAAGACGGUUUUGCUGUCACUUAUAGAUUGAUCCGCGCCGCAUUAGCUAGUUGGUAAGGUAACGGCUUACCAAGGCAACGAUGCGUAGCCGACCUGAGAGGGUGAUCGGCCACACUGGAACUGAGACACGGUCCAGACUCCUACGGGAGGCAGCAGUAGGGAAUCUUCCGCAAUGGGCGAAAGCCUGACGGAGCAACGCCGCGUGAGUGAUGAAGGUCUUCGGAUCGUAAAACUCUGUUAUUAGGGAAGAACAAAUGUGUAAGUAACUAUGCACGUCUUGACGGUACCUAAUCAGAAAGCCACGGCUAACUACGUG